RNAcentral lists this ribosomal RNA (497 nucleotides) under uncultured bacterium. Its description in RNAcentral is "partial 16S ribosomal RNA". It matches the Rfam family "Bacterial small subunit ribosomal RNA", at positions 28 to 507 of the family's 1533-position model. The record is from RNAcentral.
GAUGAACGCUGGCGGCGUGCCUAAUACAUGCAAGUCGAGCGAACAGACGAGGAGCUUGCUCCUCUGACGUUAGCGGCGGACGGGUGAGUAACACGUGGAUAACCUACCUAUAAGACUGGGAUAACUUCGGGAAACCGGAGCUAAUACCGGAUAAUAUAUUGAACCGCAUGGUUCAAUAGUGAAAGACGGUUUUGCUGUCACUUAUAGAUGGAUCCGCGCCGCAUUAGCUAGUUGGUAAGGUAACGGCUUACCAAGGCGACGAUGCGUAGCCGACCUGAGAGGGUGAUCGGCCACACUGGAACUGAGAUACGGUCCAGACUCCUACGGGAGGCAGCAGUAGGGAAUCUUCCGCAAUGGGCGAAAGCCUGACGGAGCAACGCCGCGUGAGUGAUGAAGGUCUUCGGAUCGUAAAACUCUGUUAUUAGGGAAGAACAAAUGUGUAAGUAACUAUGCACGUCUUGACAGUACCUAAUCAGAAAGCCACGGCUAACUACGUG